AAAAUUAUUACUGAGGAAUAUAUUUUCGUCACUAAUCAUUUUUAAUAUUUUUAGACUUUUUGGUGAGGAAAUAAUUUUGUCACCAAUUUUAAAAGGAUAAUUUUGAGAUAUUGAGUGGUAAUGCAAAAAAUAUAAGCUACUAGUUUUCCAAAAAAUUGCCUCAAAUCACACCGUUUUGAUUUUUCAUUUUUCCCUUUAACUUUUUUCCCUCUCUCCCAUUUGUUGAGAAAGCCCUAACUCGUCAAGAGAGAGAGGCGAACAGAGAGGAAAGCAAGGCAAACUCGAACGCAGAGAAGGGCGGGUGACGACGACUUUGGCAGCUGCGGCGAGGUGAGGUGGCGAUUGAUUUUUGAUGACAUUUGGAAGCAUACUUGCAAAUCAAUAUCAAGUGCUGAAUUUUUUUCUUUUCUUUUUUGUGGACUGAUACUAGUUCUACUUGUAAAUCAAGAUCAAGUGUUGAUUUUUUUUUGUGGACUAUAUAUAGUUAAUUUUGGGAUUAGUUGUGAUGGUCUUUCUGUUAUACUUAAUGGAUUAUUAUUAAAUUUGUUUGAUGGAUAUAUUUUAGUUUUA
This is a non-coding RNA of Camellia sinensis, 570 nucleotides long. The record is from RefSeq and is a predicted model, not a curated record. Lineage: Eukaryota; Viridiplantae; Streptophyta; Magnoliopsida; Ericales; Theaceae.